UACGAAGGGGGCAAGCGUUUUUCGGAGUAACUGGGCGUAAAGCGCACGUAGGCGGAUUUGUAAGUCAGGGGUGAAAUCCCGGGGCUCAACCUCGGAACUGCCUUUGAUACUGCAAGUCUGGAGUCCGGAAGAGGUGAGUGGAAUUCCUAGUGUAGAGGUGAAAUUCGUAGAUAUUAGGAAGAACACCAGUGGCGAAGGCGGCUCACUGGUCCGGUACUGACGCUGAGGUGCGAAAGCGUGGGGAGCAAACAGG
RNAcentral lists this ribosomal RNA (253 nucleotides) under uncultured bacterium. RNAcentral's name for it is "partial 16S ribosomal RNA". It matches the Rfam family "Bacterial small subunit ribosomal RNA", at positions 524 to 776 of the family's 1533-position model. The record is from RNAcentral.